GACGGAGAAAAAGAAGUAAGGUCCGUG
RNAcentral lists this small RNA (27 nucleotides) under Bombyx mori (domestic silkworm). RNAcentral's name for it is "ovarian small RNA-15577". Lineage: Eukaryota; Metazoa; Arthropoda; Insecta; Lepidoptera; Bombycidae. The record is from RNAcentral.